This 235-nucleotide unclassified non-coding RNA is filed under the name Hevea brasiliensis (rubber tree). Lineage: Eukaryota; Viridiplantae; Streptophyta; Magnoliopsida; Malpighiales; Euphorbiaceae. The record is from RNAcentral.
GAGAGGCUUCACCUUUGUGCAGAGAAGGAACUGGAGAUUUACCUGAAUGUUGAAGAAGGUAAUUCCAAAACAUUUGAUGAUUUCCGUAUAAAACUUAAUAGUCUGACUAGUGUAACUAGGAAUUACUUUGAGAACUUAGUUAGAGCACUUGAGAAUGGUCUUGAAGAUGUUGAUUCCCAAGGAGCUCAUGGAAACAUUGCAACGAGCUCUAAAACCCCAGCUUUGAGCAGCAAAC